GAUGAACGCUGGCGGCGUGCUUAACACAUGCAAGUCGAACGAUGAAGCCCAGCUUGCUGGGUGUAUUAGUGGCGAACGGGUGAGUAACACGUGAGUACCCUGCCCUUUACUCUGGGAUAAGCCUGGGAAACUGGGUCUAAUACUGGAUAUGACUUCUCAUCGCAUGGUGGGGGGUGGAGAGAUUUAUUGGUAUUGGAUGGACUCGCGGCCUAUCAGCUUGUUGGUGAGGUAGUGGCUCACCAAGGCGACGACGGGUAGCCGGCCUGAGAGGGUGACCGGCCACACUGGGACUGAGACACGGCCCAGACUCCUACGGGAGGCAGCAGUGGGGAAUAUUGCACAAUGGGCGCAAGCCUGAUGCAGCGACGCCGCGUGAGGGAUGACGGCCUUCGGGUUGUAAACCCCUUUCAGUAGGGAAGAAGCGAGAGUGACGGUACCUGCAGAAGAAGCGCCGGCUAACUACGUG
Molecule: ribosomal RNA, 466 nt
Filed under: uncultured bacterium
Lineage: Bacteria
Description: partial 16S ribosomal RNA
Rfam family: Bacterial small subunit ribosomal RNA
Source: RNAcentral